RNAcentral lists this small RNA (160 nucleotides) under Xenorhabdus japonica. RNAcentral's name for it is "Glm Y RNA activator of glmS mRNA". It matches the Rfam family "Glm Y RNA activator of glmS mRNA". Rfam says of the family: This family consists of a number of bacterial RNA genes of around 167 bases in length. The function of this RNA is unknown. The record is from Rfam by way of RNAcentral. Lineage: Bacteria; Pseudomonadati; Pseudomonadota; Gammaproteobacteria; Enterobacterales; Morganellaceae.
AGUUGCUCAUUCAACUUUUUAUGUAGGCCCACAAUCAGGUGGAAACAUGCCACAUAAGCCCAGAAUGACGCCAAAGUAAGGUGCCUACCGUCCAACUUCAUGAUACUCGCCUUCGGGCUUUAUCAAACACAGGGCGACACGUGGAGUGAGGCACCACCUA